This is a long non-coding RNA of Gadus macrocephalus (Pacific cod), 4170 nucleotides long. RefSeq lists it as uncharacterized. Lineage: Eukaryota; Metazoa; Chordata; Actinopteri; Gadiformes; Gadidae. The transcript has 2 exons. The record is from RefSeq and is a predicted model, not a curated record.
AUGAUAUGUAGGCCUAAUAAUAAUCAUAGUUUAACAUAAAAUGUAAGGUUAAUUUCUAUCACAGUACAUACAUACAACAGAUGAAGUUCCAGAGGAAAAGGGAGGACGGCCGUCCUCCCAUUGACUCCCAUGUUAAAAAAAAUUGGAAAAAGCUGAAUAGUUUAAAAGUUGAAAGAGUUGAAAACCGUGAUAGAUAGCCAUCAUAGCGUUAAAGAGCUGACGUUUUGAAUGGUUUCUGUAGCUGAAAGUAUGGCGGAGGAGUUGAACACCAAAAAACGGGAGGAGGAAGAAUAAAAAUAAGAAUAAUAAAGAUUUCAAUAUCUAGGGUGUGAACACUAGAAAUUGCAUUUCCUGCAGAAAACGCGUGUGAAUGCUGGCGGCUGAAUGAAAAGGGCAAAGCAUUGCUGAAAAUGAAGAAAUGUAAAAUUAAUUGAACCGAAGAAUCUGAAAGUAGUAGCUGAAGUAGUAGUAGUAGCUGAAGUAGUAGUAGCUGUAGUAUAAGUAGUAGUAGCUGAAAUAAUAGUAGUUGUAGUAGCUAAAGUAGUAGUAGCUGAAGUAGUAGAAGCUGAAGUAUUAGGUAGUAGCUGAAGUAGUUGUAGUAGCUGAAGUAGUAGAAGUAGCUGAAGUUGUAGUAGAAGUAGCUAAAGAAGUAGUAGUAGCUGAAGUAGUAGGUAGUAGCUGAAGUAGUAGGUAGUAUCUGAAGUAGUAGUUGUAGCUGAAGUAGUAGGCAGAAGCUGAAGUAGUAAUAGAAGCUGAAGUAGUAGUAGUAGCGGAAGUAAUUGUAGUAGCUGAAGUAGUAGUAGAAGCUGAAGUGGUAGUAGAAGUAGCUGACGUAGUAGGUAGUAGCUGAGGUAAUAGGUAGUAGCUGAGAUAGUAGUAGGUAGAAGCUGAAGUAGUAGUACUAGUAGCUGAAGUAGUAGGCAGAAGCUGAAGUAGUAGGUAGAAGCUGAAGUAGUAGGUAGUAGCUUAAGUAGUUGUUGUAGCUUAGGUAGAAGUAGUAGCUGAAGUAUUAGGUAGUAGCUGAAGUAGUAGUAGUAGUAGUAGUUGUAUUGGUAGGAGUAGUAGUAAUGGUUGUAGUAGUAGCUGAAGUAGUAGUUGUAGCUGAAGUAGUAGUAGUAGUAAUGGUAGUCGUAGUAGUGGUAGUAGUAGUAGGCAGUAGAAAUGUUGAUUAGCUCUAAUCAAGUGAGAGAUUUUAACGAAGUUCAAAAUGUUAAAAUCGUAUUGGAAUAAAGCUGUGUGUGUUUGUGUGUGUGUGUUGGUGUGUCUUAAGAGAAUGGCGGAGCCAUUGCCUGUGUGUGUGUUUGUGUGUGUGUGUCUCUUUAAAAGAAUGGCGGAGCUAUUGCGUUUGUGUGUGAGUGUGCCUGAACGUCCUCAGUUCUGACGUCAACGGAAAUCAAUGAGAGCAACUGAAUACUCUGACGGUUGGAAACUAAAACUGUGAUUCUGAUCCGUAGAUAUUAUUGAAGAUACAAGUGUGUCGAUUUGUUACAUGGUUGGAACGAAGAUAAACUGUACGAUAUAUAGAUAUAUAAUAGCAGGCCUGUCGCACCAGUUACUCAAGUUACUCAUGUGUGCAUGUGCCAAGCAGCCUGCAGCUCACACACACACACAGCACUCGCGAAGGCCUGCAUACACAGCAAGCACGCACAUACACAUGGCUCCCAUGUUAAAAAAAAGUGGAAAAAGCUGAAUAGUUUAAAAAGUUGAAAGAGUUGAAAACGCUGAUCGAUAGCCAUCAUGUCGUUAAAGAGCUGAACGUUAUGAUAUUUGAAUGGUUUCUGUAGCUGAAAGUAUGGCGGAGGAGUUGAACACCAAAAAACGGGAGGAGGAAGAAUAAAAAUAAGAAUAAUUAAGAUUUCAAUAUCUAGAGUGAUGUGUGAAUGCUACAGCAUUCACGAUAAUAAGAAUAAUAAAGAUUUCAAUAUCUAGGGUGUGAAUACUAGAAAUUGCAUUUCCUGCAGAAAAUGCAUGUGAAUGCUGACGGCUGAAUGAAAAGUGCGAAGCAUUGCUGAAAAUUAAGAAAUGUAAAAUUGAUUGAACCAAAGAAUCUGAAAGUAGUAGCUGAAGUAGUAGUAGUAGUAGUUGCUAAAGUAGUAGGCAGUAGCUAAAGAAGUAGUGGUAGCUGAAGUAGUAGGUAGUAGCUGAAGUAGUAGUAGCUGAAGUAAUAAGCUGAAGUAGUAGAAGCUGAAGUAGUAAUAGAAGCUGAAAUAGUAGUAGUAGCUGAAGUAGUUGUAGUAGCUGAAGUAAUAGUUGUAGCUGAAGUAGUGGGUAGUAGCUGAAGUAGUUGUAGUAGCUGAAGUAAUUGUAGUAGCUGAAGUAGUAGUAGUACUAGAAGCUGAAAUGGUAGUAGAAGUAGCUGACGUAGUAGGUAGUAGCUGAGGUAAUAGGUAGCAGCUGAGGUAGUAGUAGUAGCUGAAGUAGUAUGUAGUAGCUGAAGUGGUAGUAGUAGUAGCUGAAGUAGUAGGUAGUAGCUGAAGUAGUAGGUAGUAUGGGGGAAAUUAACCAUUACUUUUAUAUUAACUUUGAGCAUUAUCAGGCCUAUAUAUAUAUAUCAGGCAUAUACAUUAAAGGUGCCAUGGCAUGAAAAUUGCACAUUAUGAGGUUCUCUAACAUAAAUAUGAGUUCCCCUCGCCUGCCUAUGGUCCCCAAGUGGCUAAAACUUGCGUUCGGUUUAAAACGAGAACUAGGUGUUCUGCUCGCCUUUGGAAAAAAACGGAGGCUCAAGCCCGCUGAUUUGGAAUGUGGUUUCCUAUGUCGUCACGCUGCAGUAAGCUCCUCCCCUUACUCUGCCUGGCCCGCCCAGAGACUUGGCCCGCCAAUGAGACACGACCGUGUGAGCGCCACAUAAUGUGUGUGUGUAAGUGUUUCUUGUCGGUUCUUUGACGUCUCUUGUAUUUCCACAACGAGACUGUAGUGGGGGUUAUCUCAGCCAUGGUUGAGAAGGAAUUGGGGGAAAGGAACUUUGGCUUUGACUCCCUGAAGUACAUGAACUGCGACAUGCCGCCGGUUGCCGCGAGGCACCACCGGCAUCAGGCAGCGUGCGGUUCAGUCUACUUCAGAUUGAUGUGAAAGUAGAAGAACCAGAGACGUUGCAGAACCAGACAAAGUCGUUUUUUGAUUCAUAAUAUCGUCUGGAGGCGCACACAGCUUUUGGCAGUGAUAAUAUGUAUUAUAUAAUAUAGAUAUCUAUGUAUGAUAUUAUUUAGAUAUAGAGCUCCAGGACUGUAACGCAAGCGUUGUACACUUCCUUGUUAUUUGGAUAACCGUUCUGCUUUUGGUGUUAUGGCGCAUAACACGUCGGACUCUCGUCUCUGGUAUUUCUACAACGAGACUCGUAGUGGGGGUUAUCUCAGCCAUGGUUGAGAAUGAAUUGGGGGAAAGGAACUUUGGCUUUGACUCCCUCAAGAACAUGAACCACGACUUGGAGGAGAAAGGGAUUGUUGGCGGCGAAUGUCUCCCGCUUGAGCCCCGCUUCCCGCUGCCGAGGUACUACCGCGCUGCAGGAGGCGGAGGUGCCUAAGCGCUGCCCGGCAACAAUCCCUUUCUCCUCCUUGUCACGGUUCAGUCUACUUCACAUUGAUGUGGACGUGGAAGAACCAGGAACGUCGGAGAACCCAACACGGUCGUUUGAGAUUCAUAAUAUCGGCUCACACAGCUUUUGGCCGUGAUAAUAUAUAGUGGGUGGGGUGGCUGUAACUAUGCACCACGGCUGAAUUUCGGGAACGUCUUUGAAUACUAUGUUAGUGGCCCACUAAUACCUAUAUUAAAGCAUCCAUAAAAUAGCAUGUCAAGGCACCUUUUAAUGGUGGAAAGCAGAAAAAAACACCUCUGGACUCAGAGUUGGGCCUCAUACAGAGCCAGGCAGUCUAGGGCUAAGGCGUACUGACAUCCUCCCAUUAUUUAGAUUAUCUGCAGGAGAUGACCACAUACUUAAAGGAAUUUAUGGUUGACCGUCCCUGCCAUAUGAGGGAAUUCUGAGCCUGUACCGAAGGCGGUCAUUUGAUAUGCAAAACAGCUCAGUUUGAAUGGAUAAAGACCGGGAUCGGACGACCCGGCAGUGUCUUUGCAAACCUCGCUCUGCGUUGUUGUUUCUCGUUUGCGGGUAACAAUAAAGUCUCUGUCAAUACUUUAUCCGGACUCCCCGAUUCCUCAUGUUCUCUUCAAUUAGUU